ACCAUUUCAUCCUUACCAAACAGCCCUUUCUCCUUCACCUAACAGCCCUAACGUCACCACCCAUCGCCGCCACCCUUGUCACGUCCGUCACCUCACCACCACCACGCCCAUAUCCCACAAAAUCCGCUACCUACACCCCUCUUCUCCUUUCUCACACUCCAUCUCUGAAGCUUGCAGGAACCAUGUGCAAAUUCAGCAGAUUUCAUGGUUCUCGACUCAACAACAAGCUUUUCAAGCGGAUUCGGAGACUUGACAACGACAAGCCUCAGUUCGCUGUCCCGAAAAAGGUAUGGAUUUGCAUUGGGGUACAACAAAUGACGAAGAUCCAGGACACCACAAAAUGGAGUUGUACAUUUAGACAUAGGAAAUUGUGUUUACUUUACUUAGAUUAGGAAAUACUUUACGUUGUAUUCAUUUGGUAUGUAAUAAAAUUACAAUACUUUUGUACUUUAUUUCGGGAAUUAAAACUUGUUUAAUUAGCCAAAAGCAACGGGAUGACGUAUUAUGACACACUUUUCCCUUCAAACAAACGUUAGGCCUACCUCUGGCACAAAGAGGUCACAUGCAUA
This is a long non-coding RNA of Lycium barbarum (goji berry), 569 nucleotides long. RefSeq lists it as uncharacterized. The record is from RefSeq and is a predicted model, not a curated record. NCBI's taxonomy places the organism in Eukaryota, Viridiplantae, Streptophyta, Magnoliopsida, Solanales, Solanaceae. The transcript has 3 exons.